This 884-nucleotide ribosomal RNA is filed under the name uncultured archaeon. RNAcentral describes it as "bacterial SSU rRNA". It matches the Rfam family "Archaeal small subunit ribosomal RNA", at positions 21 to 903 of the family's 1478-position model. The record is from RNAcentral.
CCCGUACUGCUAUCAGAGUGGGACUAAGCCAUGCGAGUCGACACAGCAAUGUGUGGCAUACGGCUCAGUAACACGUAGUCAACAUGCCCAGGGGGCGUGGAUAACCUCGGGAAACUGAGGAUAAACCGCGAUAGGUCACUACGUUCUGGAAUGGGUAAUGACCCAAACYUAUAUGGCCACCUGGAUUGGACUGCGGCCGAUCAGGCUGUUGGUGAGGUAAUGGCCCACCAAACCUGUAACCGGUACGGGCUCUGAGAGGAGGAGCCCGGAGAUGGGCACUGAGACAAGGGCCCAGGCCCUAUGGGGCGCAGCAGGCGCGAAACCUCUGCAAUAGGCGAAAGCUUGACAGGGUUACUCUGAGUGAUUUCCGUUAAGGAGAUCUUUUGGCACCUCUAAAAAUGGUGCAGAAUAAGGGGUGGGCAAGUCUGGUGUCAGCCGCCGCGGUAAUACCAGCACCCCGAGUGGUCGGGACGUUUAUUGGGCCUAAAGCAUCCGUAGCCGGUUCUACAAGUCUUCCGUUAAAUCCACCUGCUCAACAGAUGGGCUGCGGAAGAUACUAUGGAGCUAGGAGGCGGGAGAGGCAAGCGGUACUCGAUGGGUAGGGGUAAAAUCCGUUGAUCCAUUGAAGACCACCAGUGGCGAAGGCGGCUUGCCAGAACGCGCUCGACGGUGAGGGAUGAAAGCUGGGGGAGCAAACCGGAUUAGAUACCCGGGUAGUCCCAGCUGUAAACGAUGCAGACUCGGGGGKGAUUARAGUUGGCUUUUAUGCCAACUCAGUGCCGCASGGAAGCCCGUUAAGUUUGCCGCCUGGGGAGUACGGUCGCAAGACUGAAACUUAAAGGAAUUGGGCGGGGGAGCACCACAAGGGGUGAAGCCUGCGGUUC